Molecule: long non-coding RNA, 1262 nt
Filed under: Salmo salar (Atlantic salmon)
Lineage: Eukaryota; Metazoa; Chordata; Actinopteri; Salmoniformes; Salmonidae
Description: lncRNA (ENSSSAG00000084439.1)
Rfam family: Small nucleolar RNA ACA64 (bases 1033-1159)
Source: RNAcentral
CUGGUCUCUACACAAUGAAAACUGUUGACACAGCAGAUACUGUCUGCUAUGUAUUAUAGGUAUCUUUCAUACAAAUCUUAACCUUGUGACCCAUUCUAUAUAUCUGUUGUUCGUCAUGUAGGUUGAAAGGGGUGUAUCUUGGCUAUAAAAUACCUUUGUACUUUUGUCUCGGGGCUCUCAAUGAAUCAUCUGAGCGUGAAUCGUCGACCAGCCAUGACCAGCCAUAAUCGUAGCGCACUCAAUCGAUUCACUUUAUAUGUUAAAGAAAUUAACCACCACAUAUGGCGACGAGGAUGGGAUGUGAAUCUUCACUUGGUGACCACUCCUGAUGACCUGGGUAAAUAGUGCACAAGGGAUCCCUCAAACUUGGCAUCACAGGGAGACCAAACUUCAGAAACGAAGCAGAUGGACCCACCUUUGAUCUGAGAGGCAGCGAGCCGAGUGGACAUCACAUCUCGAACUUAGUUUUCAAAAAAUAAAGAGGCAGCAAAAUGUGAAAACUGUACAAAGGGUGUGUUGUCCUGAGAAAAGACUUCUCCAAGUCUGGCCUCUGACCACAGAGAGAACGUUCACCUCGUUCAGAACUACUUCAAGGUGUGUCUGCGUCGUCUCGGGGCCCAGGUGUGUGGGCUGUUUGUGGAGGUGGAGGGCGUUCAGUUUGGCCGUUGUCUAGAUGCCCUGCUGCCCCUUAUCGAGAAACAUUUACUCUUUUACAAAUCAAACUUUUAAGAUAUCAAAAUAUUUAAAAAGGAGCAGGAUGAGAAGGCAGCAGACAAACAGCUGUUCAGCUACCUGACCCUGGUCUUCAAACUCUCCAAGGACUGUAGCCUCCUGGAAGCCUCAGGACACGUUCACUAACAUCCUGGUUAAGACACUACAAUAGUACCUAGAACCUGGUCCCAGAUCUGUUUGUGCUGUCUUGCCAUCUGUUUGUGCUGUCUUGUAGUUGCGACCAUAGGAAUUGGCACGACAGCACUAACAGCUCAGGGACCCAGCUUUACUACCUCUGGAUAUCAUAUCUGUGACGUGGGCCCAGUCUGAAAAUCACCUCAGAUAUCUCAGUUGUCUGGAGAGACACAACUGGUCCUACAGUACUGUGGUAGGUUACGUUUAUUGCCUGCUCUGUACAGCAGUGUGAUUAAACUCAUGUGCCACAAUUGUUCACCUGAAAUGUCUGUUUUUGCACGUUUCUCACCUCCUGUUCUUUGAGUCGAUGAUGAUGGCUAUAUAGAAAUAUAGAUCUACAUCAAUUCAUCGAUUAU